RNAcentral lists this ribosomal RNA (391 nucleotides) under Salmonella enterica subsp. enterica serovar Typhimurium. RNAcentral's name for it is "bacterial SSU rRNA". It matches the Rfam family "Bacterial small subunit ribosomal RNA", at positions 1001 to 1392 of the family's 1533-position model. Lineage: Bacteria; Pseudomonadati; Pseudomonadota; Gammaproteobacteria; Enterobacterales; Enterobacteriaceae. The record is from RNAcentral.
CAGAGAUGGAUUUGUGCCUUCGGGAACUGUGAGACAGGUGCUGCAUGGCUGUCGUCAGCUCGUGUUGUGAAAUGUUGGGUUAAGUCCCGCAACGAGCGCAACCCUUAUCCUUUGUUGCCAGCGAUUAGGUCGGGAACUCAAAGGAGACUGCCAGUGAUAAACUGGAGGAAGGUGGGGAUGACGUCAAGUCAUCAUGGCCCUUACGACCAGGGCUACACACGUGCUACAAUGGCGCAUACAAAGAGAAGCGACCUCGCGAGAGCAAGCGGACCUCAUAAAGUGCGUCGUAGUCCGGAUUGGAGUCUGCAACUCGACUCCAUGAAGUCGGAAUCGCUAGUAAUCGUGGAUCAGAAUGCCACGGUGAAUACGUUCCCGGGCCUUGUACACACCG